Molecule: long non-coding RNA, 675 nt
Organism: Quercus robur (English oak)
Lineage: Eukaryota; Viridiplantae; Streptophyta; Magnoliopsida; Fagales; Fagaceae
Exons: 4
Source: RefSeq, a predicted model, not a curated record
AAAAUAAGUAAUAUGAUAAUCUUGAUUCAAUACUAUAUGUGUGUGUGUGUUUCUUUGUGCUUCUUUGGGGAUUCCAUAUAAAUAGAAUGCUCCUUUAAUUGCUCUACAUAGAUUGUUGUCUACAUUAUUUUAUUCAUGUAUCUGCUGAUUCCAAGGAUUGUCUAAAAGUUUAUCAUCCUGGAUGUGUGGGAAAGAAAGUUUCAUUUUUGGAGGGCAGAGAAAGCUGGACUUGCAAUUGGCACUAUUGCUCAAUAUGCCAUAAAUCUCCAAAGUUUCAGUGCUUUUGCUGUCCUUAUGCCAUAUGUGAGUGCUGCAUGAAUGCUGCUGAGUUUGCACCAACUCGUGGGAAGAAGGGAUUCUGCAGUGAGUAUUUGAAGCUUGUUCUAUGUGCAGAAGAAAACGUGGAGUAUGAUUCUGAUGGGGCGUGAAAGAAACCUCAUCAGCUGGUAAAAUCAAUAGUGAAAUUCUCCUGCAAGCUUCCAGUGUGCCAAUGGACAUUCGCAUUUCCCUGCUGUCUGAUUCUGACUUCACCAAGGAGGAAUUGGAGGAUUUGCAGCAAAAAGUAAAAAACGGCGUGCACAAAAAACUGACUGUUGUAUGUUCUGUCAUUCAUAAGCAGUUAUCUCUCAUUUAUGUUGUUUUUAGUAAGUACUCUUUUCAAAGUUUCUUACCUGG